This 212-nucleotide ribosomal RNA is filed under the name uncultured Candidatus Methanoperedens sp. RNAcentral describes it as "partial 16S ribosomal RNA". It matches the Rfam family "Archaeal small subunit ribosomal RNA", at positions 583 to 794 of the family's 1478-position model. The record is from RNAcentral. Lineage: Archaea; Methanobacteriati; Methanobacteriota; Methanomicrobia; Methanosarcinales; Candidatus Methanoperedentaceae.
ACUGGUAGGCUUGGGACCGGGAGAGGUGGGAGGUACUCCAGGGGUAGGGGUGAAAUCUCGUAAUCCUUGGGGGACCACCGAUGGCGAAGGCAUCCCACCAGAACGGGUCCGACGGUGAGGGACGAAAGCUGGGGGCACGAACCGGAUUAGAUACCCGGGUAGUCCCAGCUGUAAACGAUGCUCGCUAGGUGUCAGGUGCGGUGCGACCGCAU